This 843-nucleotide ribosomal RNA is filed under the name Cucurbitaria berberidis. RNAcentral's name for it is "eukaryotic LSU rRNA". It matches the Rfam family "Eukaryotic large subunit ribosomal RNA", at positions 77 to 937 of the family's 3401-position model. The record is from RNAcentral. Lineage: Eukaryota; Fungi; Ascomycota; Dothideomycetes; Pleosporales; Cucurbitariaceae.
GCCCUAGUAACGGCGAGUGAAGCGGCAUCAGCUCAAAUUUGAAAUCUGGCUCUUUCAGGGUCCGAGUUGUAAUUUGCAGAGGGCGCUUUGGCGUUGGCAGCGGUCUAAGUUCCUUGGAACAGGACGUCACAGAGGGUGAGAAUCCCGUACGUGGUCGCUAACCUUCGCCGUGUAAAGCCCCUUCGACGAGUCGAGUUGUUUGGGAAUGCAGCUCUAAAUGGGAGGUAAAUUUCUUCUAAAGCUAAAUACUGGCCAGAGACCGAUAGCGCACAAGUAGAGUGAUCGAAAGAUGAAAAGCACUUUGGAAAGAGAGUCAAAUAGCACGUGAAAUUGUUGAAAGGGAAGCGCUUGCAGCCAGACUUGCCUGUAGUUGCUCAUCCGGGCUUUUGCCCGGUGCACUCUUCUGCGGGCAGGCCAGCAUCAGUCUAGGCGGUUGGAUAAAGGCCUCUGUCACGUACCUCCUUUCGGGGAGGCCUUAUAGGGGAGGCGACAUGCAACCAGCCUGGACUGAGGUCCGCGCAUCUGCUAGGAUGCUGGCGUAAUGGCUGUAAGCGGCCCGUCUUGAAACACGGACCAAGGAGUCUAACAUCUAUGCGAGUGUUUGGGUGUCAAGCCCGAACGCGUAAUGAAAGUGAACGGAGGUGGGAUCCCUUUUAGGGUGCACCAUCGACCGAUCCUGAUGUCUUCGGAUGGAUUUGAGUAAGAGCAUGGCUGUUGGGACCCGAAAGAUGGUGAACUAUGCUUGAAUAGGGUGAAGCCAGAGGAAACUCUGGUGGAGGCUCGCAGCGGUUCUGACGUGCAAAUCGAUCGUCAAAUUUGGGCAUAGGGGCGAAAGACUAAUCG